Molecule: ribosomal RNA, 1439 nt
Filed under: uncultured organism
Description: 16S ribosomal RNA
Rfam family: Bacterial small subunit ribosomal RNA
Source: RNAcentral
GUGCUUAACACAUGCAAGUCGAACGGAAAGGCCCUGCUUUUGUGGGGUGCUCGAGUGGCGAACGGGUGAGUAACACGUGAGUAACCUGCCCUUGACUUUGGGAUAACUUCAGGAAACUGGGGCUAAUACCGGAUAGGAGCUCCUGCUGCAUGGUGGGGGUUGGAAAGUUUCGGCGGUUGGGGAUGGACUCGCGGCUUAUCAGCUUGUUGGUGGGGUAGUGGCUUACCAAGGCUUUGACGGGUAGCCGGCCUGAGAGGGUGACCGGCCACAUUGGGACUGAGAUACGGCCCAGACUCCUACGGGAGGCAGCAGUGGGGAAUAUUGCACAAUGGGCGGAAGCCUGAUGCAGCAACGCCGCGUGCGGGAUGACGGCCUUCGGGUUGUAAACCGCUUUCGCCUGUGACGAAGCGUGAGUGACGGUAAUGGGUAAAGAAGCACCGGCUAACUACGUGCCAGCAGCCGCGGUGAUACGUAGGGUGCGAGCGUUGUCCGGAUUUAUUGGGCGCAAAGGGCUCGUAGGUGGUUGAUCGCGUCGGAAGUGUAAUCUUGGGGCUUAACCCUGAGCGUGCUUUCGAUACGGGUUGACUUGAGGAAGGUAGGGGAGAAUGGAAUUCCUGGUGGAGCGGUGGAAUGCGCAGAUAUCAGGAGGAACACCAGUGGCGAAGGCGGUUCUCUGGGCCUUUCCUGACGCUGAGGAGCGAAAGCGUGGGGAGCGAACAGGCUUAGAUACCCUGGUAGUCCACGCUGUAAACGGUGGGUACUAGGUGUGGGGUCCAUUCCACGGGUUCCGUGCCGUAGCUAACGCUUUAAGUACCCCGCCUGGGGAGUACGGCCGCAAGGCUAAAACUCAAAGGAAUUGACGGGGCCCCGCACAAGCGGCGGAGCAUGCGGAUUAAUUCGAUGCAACGCGUAGAACCUUACCUGGGUUUGACAUGGAUCGGGAGUGCUCAGAGAUGAGUGUGCCUCUUUUGGGGUCGGUUCACAGGUGGUGCAUGGCUGUCGUCAGCUCGUGUCGUGAGAUGUUGGGUUAAGUCCCGCAACGAGCGCAACCCUUGUUCACUGUUGCCAGCACGUUAUGGUGGGGACUCAGUGGAGACCGCCGGGGUCAACUCGGAGGAAGGUGGGGAUGACGUCAAGUCAUCAUGCCCCUUAUGUCCAGGGCUUCACGCAUGCUACAAUGGCUGGUACAGAGAGUGGCGAGCCUGUGAGGGUGAGCGAAUCUCGGAAAGCCGGUCUCAGUUCGGAUUGGGGUCUGCAACUCGACCUCAUGAAGUCGGAGUCGCUAGUAAUCGCAGAUCAGCAACGCUGCGGUGAAUACGUUCCCGGGGCUUGUACACACCGCCCGUCAAGUCAUGAAAGUUGGUAACACCCGAAGCCGGUGGCCUAACCGUUGUGGGGGAGCCGUCGAAGGUGGGACUGGUGAUUAGGACUAAGUCGUA